This 445-nucleotide ribosomal RNA is filed under the name uncultured bacterium. RNAcentral's name for it is "partial 16S ribosomal RNA". It matches the Rfam family "Bacterial small subunit ribosomal RNA", at positions 354 to 796 of the family's 1533-position model. The record is from RNAcentral.
GUGAGGAAUAUUGGUCAAUGGGCGGAAGCCUGAACCAGCCAUCCCGCGUGAAGGAAGGCGGCCCUAUGGGUUGUAAACUUCUUUAGUACAUGAAGAACAGGAUCUACGCGUAGGUUUAUGACGGUAAUGUACAAAAAAGCAUCGGCUAACUCCGUGCCAGCAGCCGCGGUAAUACGGAGGAUCCGAGCGUUAUCCGGAUUUAUUGGGUUUAAAGGGUGCGUAGGUGGUUUGAUAAGUCAGCGGUGAAAGUUUGCAGCUUAACUGUAAAAAUGCCGUUGAAACUGUCGGACUUGAGUGUAAAUGAGGUAGGCGGAAUGCGUGGUGUAGCGCUGAAAUGCUUAGAUAUCACACAGAACACCGAUUGCGUAGGCAGCUUACUGGAGCGCAACUGACGCUGAGGCACGAAAGCGUGGGGAUCGAACAGGAUUAGAAACCCUAGUAGUCC